CUUUUUUUUUUUUAAUUUUAAUUUUUUUUUAACACACACUGCGCUUUUUAUUUUCCUCCACAGAGCUAGUAUCCAGGGAAAAAAAAAGAUCCAUCCAAUAAACAAAAAUAAACUUUGAACAACAAAAAAACAAAAAACAAAAAAAUGGCCAUGUGUUGUAUCAUCAAGGAAAAGUCUAUAGGGGUGAAAAAAAAGGAAUAUAUUUAUAUAUAUAUAUAUUUAUAUGUAUAUAACACUGUUAAUAAGGAGAAUUCUAACCAAGAGCAGGAUUUAUACACCCUUCAAUAGAGCAGUGAGAAGGAAGGGGUGAAGCAGUGUGGGGGGAAAGAAGGUGGAGGUUUUGUUCCAUGCUUCUCUCCCCCUGCAGUUUUUUUUUCCCUUUAACCUUCCCCCCAUCCCAGUGAAUACUUAGGGAGCAGCACUUGGCCACGAUCACCAGAAUGAACCAUUUACAUUCUCUGGUGAAGAGCAAAGACUUGGGGAAGUGGGUCCCAAAAAGGCUGCAGAUAGCUUAGAAUUACUGCUGCGUGCCAUGAAGCUAGUAGUUCCACGUAUUUUCUUCAUUUGCAAGAAGCAGAUUUUUACUCUGUGCCUGGCUUUUACAUACAGAAGGCUUGUGCAGAGGAAAACAUAGCUGUAGGAGUAGAUCCAGGAGCACCACUCAAGGAGACACCUCUGAAAUAACCAUGCAAAUGGAGAGUUGUCCUCAGGGAGGGGUGGGUCAUUCUCCCAUUUAAAGAGAGCUUUGAAAGUGCUCUAAACACAUCGCACAUCCUUAUCUACAUCACCCAAUACACGUGCUGGGAAGUUAUGAAUAAUCCCUUGGGGGGCUACACUUUGAUGGGUUGAAACAAGUGGGCCUGUGCUCAAUCCAUUCAGCAUAUGGCACAAGAAAGUAAUUCCUCACGAACUGCCUGAGAAAUAGCAUUUCUGCGUACCCUUCUCUCAGAGAACUGAGCUUCCACAUUUGAUUUGGGCCUUUCACAACAACUCUCCCUGUGUUCGACUCUGUCACCUUCUGUUUAUUUUUGUCCUAUUUUUAGCUUGUCUUCUUUAAAUGAUCUCGACCUCUACUUUUUCAAAAUGAGGCUUGUUUUCUCUCAGUCCACUUGCUUGACUUCACAGCCUCUUAGUCAAGUUUAGGGCAACUAUGCCAUGAGAAAAUCCUUACAAAACAAAAUGUAUUGUCUUGUCUGUUUCUCACAGAACAGCCUUUUGAACCUGCCUGGGACCACUUGCUUACUGCCAUCAGCAAAAGCAAAGAGUUUUCAAGGACACACAUUUACUGUAAUGAGGCACUUGGCCCAGAAUGAGAAAAAAAACAAAAAACAAAACAAAACUGAUGUUUCCUUUCAUACACACAACAUGCAUAAUAGCCUGGCUACUUUCCUUCCUAUGAAAAGUUAUUAGAAUAUAGUUCAGCAGUUUGAUUUUAUAUUAUAAGGAAACAACUCCAGUUAUUUCAGUGCCUUCAGUCUCAUCUGAAUGUGUCCCUUCUCUACCUUGCUAAGAAGUUUUGUUCAAAAGAGAAUUUUAGAACCUGUCCAGGGACCCUGUAGUCUAGAAGUUUUUGCUUUGGAAAUGGAGAUGAUGGAAUGAUGGUUCGGAGGAACAAAGGUGGGAGAGGGGCCAAACUGGAGGUGACAUGCAGCUGUUUGGAAUGAUCAGCUGACCACAUCCUACAUGAGCAUUAAAUUCUUAUUUGAAAUCAGAGUUUAGAGUUGCCAGAAGUCUGAGAGAUGUGAUCCAAAUACCUUAUUUUUGGGAUGAGAAAACCAGGUCUCAGGAAGUUUAAGUGACUUGCUUAAGGUCACCUCACUUGUCUGUGUGACCAGACCCUAGCCAGAUUCCAAUGCUUCACCUUAAACUUGCCAUUUAUCUUGGGUGGAGGAAUGUACUUUAAGUGUAAUGUUAAUUUGACCUAAAUCUCUUUCUAUAACAGUCCAUGCAGAAAGUUCUCGUGAGUCCCAAAGUCAUCUCUUUGAUGCCUCUUUGUGGCUGUUCAGAUUGUAGAAAAUGUAUAUAUGUCACUCUAUAUAAACACAUCAGACCCUUCAGAAAGACUCCAAGAGAAGGUGCCUGAGAGAGAUACUCCCAGUUAAAGUAAUUCUGUCCUCAGUUGCAAUAUUCAGGAUAGGUAUGUAGAAAUAUAGGUUUGUCAGAUUAAGUAAAAGUAAUAAUUUCCUAGGGUAACUUGGCAAGAUAGUUCUCAAGAAUAUAACAUGUUUCUAAGAAAUCUACAAUUUCUUAGAAUCAAGAUGACAAAGAAGCUUUCCCA
Molecule: long non-coding RNA, 2278 nt
Filed under: Canis lupus familiaris (dog)
Lineage: Eukaryota; Metazoa; Chordata; Mammalia; Carnivora; Canidae
Description: lncRNA (ENSCAFG00000052028.1, ENSCAFG00805015872.1, ENSCAFG00845015349.1)
Source: RNAcentral